CCCGGGCCUUGUACACACCGCCCGUCACACCACGAAGGUGGGUUACACCAGAAGUCGGUACGCCAACCGCAAGGAGGUAGCCGCCCAAGGUUUGACUCAUGAUUGGGGUG
RNAcentral lists this ribosomal RNA (110 nucleotides) under uncultured bacterium. RNAcentral's name for it is "partial 16S ribosomal RNA". It matches the Rfam family "Bacterial small subunit ribosomal RNA", at positions 1373 to 1482 of the family's 1533-position model. The record is from RNAcentral.